Long non-coding RNA from Cyprinus carpio (common carp), 1065 nucleotides. RefSeq lists it as uncharacterized. NCBI's taxonomy places the organism in Eukaryota, Metazoa, Chordata, Actinopteri, Cypriniformes, Cyprinidae. The record is from RefSeq and is a predicted model, not a curated record. The transcript is spliced from 3 exons.
GCUCUUUUGUUAGUGAUACUUUGAUGUCAUGGUUUCACUGGUUUCAUUGGUUGUUUACAGCACAGAUAUUUUCAUCCCUGAGAAUGGAUCAAAAAAGAACUCCAAAAAAAUAAUAAUUGUAUUGUCUGACGGACAAAUGUUGGGAGACCCAAUGAAUCUUACUGAUGUUUUAAACAUGCCACAAAUGAAAGGUGUCAAUCGCUAUUCAAUUGGAGUUGGUAAAGGCAUUCUGUCUAAUCCUGAAGCAAUACAAGAGAUGAGGGAAAUAGCAGAUCCUAAUAGGUUUUUUUAUGUUUCCAAUUAUGCCGCAUUAGAAGACAUUCUUUUCUUAAUGGACCUAAGUGGGACUGAUUUUCACCCUCCUGCUCAGCUCACAAAAAUGUGUGUCAAAGUCUGAAGGCUCAAGAACAUGGAGGAAGACGGAGAAGAUUCCUUCUUCAAAAAGAAGUGGAAACUCAUUUACUCAUUUUUACAAUUAUAUGAUUAUGAAAGUAGAUUUAGGCAUUAGUUGUUAUAGUUAGAAAAGUGGCUCCACUGACAAACAUUUUACUGUCUGUUUUAAGUUCAGGUACAAGCUCAGGUUGAAUUCAGCAUAUACACUAUCAAAGUGUCAUGGGAGAAAGAUGUAAUAUUUCAGAGUCUAAUCUAUAGCGGCAUCUUCUUUUCCAACUGCCCAGAGCUAAACAUUGGAAAGGGCCUCAAAAUGUGACACAGGUAUGAAGAUUGAAGGCACAUUGUAUCUAUAACUUAUCAUUUUAAAGGGGUCAUCAGAUGCAAAAUUCACUUUACAAGUUGUUUGAACAUAUAUGUGUGUUGGAAGUGUGUGUACACAUCCAUCCUAUAAUGAUAAAAAUCCACCCAGUGUUCAGGCUGUUCUGAGAUUCCUGUCAGAAUGACAUAGUUCUGCACAGGCCCCUCCCACAAAGGUUGAUUGACAAGGUUGUCUUACUUUCGACCUGCCCUGAGUGAGCAGUGAGCUGUCCGCCAUUGUGUCAACUCCGGUGCAGGGGAAGACAAUAAUGUCUCCGAUUAAGCGAUUGAGAUGUUUUGUUGUUAGAUAUAAUA